This 72-nucleotide transfer RNA is filed under the name Trichonephila clavipes. It matches the Rfam family "tRNA". Rfam says of the family: Transfer RNA (tRNA) molecules are approximately 80 nucleotides in length. Lineage: Eukaryota; Metazoa; Arthropoda; Arachnida; Araneae; Nephilidae. The record is from Rfam by way of RNAcentral.
GCCCAGCCAGUAUGGUGGUAUGACUCUCGGCUUGCAACCGAGUGGGUUCGGGUUCGAAUCCCGAGUAGGGCA